UGGCGGACGGGAGAUAACGCGUGGGUAACCCACCCUAAGUCGGGACAACCUUGGAAACGAGGGCUAAUACCGAUAAUUUUCGAGCUUGGCUCAAGCUGAAGGAAAGAGGCCUCUGAAGUGCUAUCGUUAUGGAUGGACCCGCGUCUGAAUAGCUAGUUGGUGGGGUAAAGGCCUACCAAGGCGACGAUCCCAGUUAGGCCGACCUGACAGGCUGAACGGCCACACUGGGACUGAGAUCACGGCCCAGACUCCUACGGAAGCCAGCAGUGGCGGAAUCUUCCGCAUGGACGAAAGUCCUGACGGAGCAACUGCCGCGAUGUAUGAUGAAGGUCUUCGGAUUGUAAAGUACUGUCUUUGGGGAAGAACGGUCUCUUUGAGAAUAUUGAGGGGACAUGACGGUACCCAAGGAGGAAGCCCCGGCUAACUACGUGCCAGCAGCCGCGGUAAUACGUAGGGGGCAAGCGUUGUCCGGGAAUUAUUGGGCGUAAAGGGCGCGUAGGCGGAUGUUUAAGUCCGGUGUGAAAGAUCAGGGCUCAACCCUGAGAGUGCAUCGGAAACUGGGCAUCUUGAGGACAGGAGCAGGAAAGUGGAAUUCCACGUGUAGCGGUGAAAUGCGUACAUAUGUGGAGGAACACCAGUGGCGAAGGCGACUUUCUGGACUGUAACUGACGCUGAGGCGCGAAAGCGUGGGGAGCAAACAGGAUUAGAUACCCUGGUAGUCCACGCCGUAAACGUAUGAGUGCUAGGUGUAGAGGGUAUCGACCCCUUCUGUGCCGCAGUUAACACAAUAAGCACUCCGCCUGGGGAGUACGGCCGCAAGGUUGAAACUCAAAGGAAUUGACGGGGGCCCGCACAAGCGGUGGAGCAUGUGGUUUAAUUCGACGCAACGCGAAGAACCUUACCAAGGCUUGACAUCCACAGAAUCGCUUGGUAAACAAGGGAGUGCCCUUCGGGGAGCUGUGAGACAGAUGGUGCAUGCUAGUCGUCAGCUCGUGUCGUAGAUGAUGUCGGGUUAAGUCACGCAACGAGCGCAACCCGCUGUGUUUAGUGGCUAACGCGUAAAGGCCAGCACUCUAGACAGACUGCAGGUGAUAAACCGGAGGAAGGUGGGAAUGACGUCAAAUCAUCAUGCCACUUAUGUUCUUGCGCUAGCACAGCGUGUCUACAGAUGGCCGGUACAGACGGAAGCGAAGCCGCGAGGUGAAGCCAUCCGACAAAGCCGGUCUCAGUUCGGAUUGCAGGCUGCAAACUCGCCUGCAUGAAGUCGGAAUCGCUAGUAAUCGCGAGAGUCAGCAUGACUGCGGUGAAUACGUUCCCGGGCCUUGUACACACCGCCCGUCACACCAUGAAAGUUGUGCAACACCCGAAUCCGGUGGAGCUAACCCGUAAGGAGCCUGCC
This 1399-nucleotide ribosomal RNA is filed under the name Desulfosporosinus sp. ADR30. RNAcentral describes it as "16S ribosomal RNA". It matches the Rfam family "Bacterial small subunit ribosomal RNA", at positions 96 to 1454 of the family's 1533-position model. The record is from RNAcentral. Lineage: Bacteria; Bacillati; Bacillota; Clostridia; Eubacteriales; Desulfitobacteriaceae.